GUCGAGUGAAACGAGGCUGCGAUCUUUUGAUCUUGCCUUUCAAGAUCAAGAUCAAAAAAUCGCAGCCUCGUUUCACUCGAC
RNAcentral lists this unclassified non-coding RNA (81 nucleotides) under Pseudomonas arsenicoxydans. The record is from RNAcentral. Lineage: Bacteria; Pseudomonadati; Pseudomonadota; Gammaproteobacteria; Pseudomonadales; Pseudomonadaceae.